AAAUUAUAUUUUAUAAAUAUUUUGUGCUAUCUGAGACGGAAAGUGUAGGUGAUGGCCCUUAAAACGCAUAUUUGUUUCAUGAUUAAUCUUGGAAAAUCAUGAGCGACAUCUUAUUACUUUAUCAACUUCAGGUUCUUUAGUCAGAGACGCUCGACGUGUAGUCAUCAGUGGUCGGCCGCGCUCGCGUCGAGUCGCGAUCCGUUUCCGCUUCCGGUUCCGUUCGAUACGCAGUUAUACUUCCGCAUCGGGCGUUCCUUGGCGAGUUCGUGAUCACCGUGGAUCGCUCGCGAACGCCAUCGGUAUAAGUGUCCCGAUUCGUCCUUCGUCGGGCUAUUCUCGACGACACGCGAGUUCGGGAUCGACGGGAGUGUCCGGGAGUCGCGGGAUGUCCGGUGUCCGGCGUACGCGGUACGCAACGAGUGUCGCCGCCCGUUCCCGUCUCCGCUCGAUCUCGUCGCGGUUCUCGUCGGCCGCGAGCGAACUUCCCCGUGGAAGGCAUCGCCGGGAACGUGGAACCGAGUCGACAACAUUAAUCGGCGGGUAAAGUGGUCGCGUUCCUCUCCCCUCCCGUCUGUGGAAAAUUAGCGCGAAAAUCGCGUGAAUUUUUGUCGAGUCAUGUACAAGGUGACGGCCAUGUUGUGACGUAGUACACGACGAUCGUACUUCAGUCUGUACUUGACCUUCUCCCGCGCUGCGCGUCGUGUCGCGGCCCACCUCCGUUCGACACAGUUAUCCUUCCGCAUCACUUGUUUCUUGGCGAUUUGCGAGUUUGCGAUCACCGUGGAUCGCUCGCAAACGCCAUCGGGAUGUGUCGUGAUUCGUUGCCGGGAGUGUUGUCGCGGGACGCCCGGUGUCGAGCGUACGCAACGAAGAAUGUCGCGUCGCCGCCAUUGUUUUAUUUUUUUUGUGCCGCGAAAUAAGAUCUCGUCGCGUUCCUCGCGUCCUCUCGUGUCCUCUCGUCGAUGGAGAGCGAGUUUCCCCGCGGAAGGCAUCGCCGGGAUGUCGAACCGAGUUGAUAUACACAGUGAUCGCGUCCCUCGCGCCUCUCUUCCCUCCCGUCUGUGGGAAAUUGGCGCGAAAAUCUCUUGAGUUUUUCGUCGUCGUGUCGUAUCGUGAAGUGACGCAGUUCAUGUACAAGAAAGAUCGCCCAUGUCGCGUUGUAUCACGGUUCCCGCUCGAUCUCGUCGCGUUCCUCGCGUCCUCUCGUCGGUCGAGAGCGAAUUUCCCUGUGAAAGGCAUCGUCGGGAAUGCCGAACCGAGUCGACGUGCAUUAAUCGGCGCGCAAAGUGGUGUCGUGUCUCUUGCGUCGUUAGGAUUUUCAAUCGUGUCGAUCGCGUGUGUACGGUGUGUGCGAAUGCAGCGAAGAAAACGUCAUCGAUUCAUCGGCUGGUGAGUAAAUUUAAUUAUUAUAUUCGCGGAAUUAAUCAGUACGUGGCGUCAUCGUCGUCCAAUAUCUCUCUUAACCAAAAUUUCAAGUGAUAAGUUCUUUAAUUUAUUUUAAAAUUUUGUUCUUCCCAUUUUUCAGUUUCUUUUUCAAAUUUUUAGAUAUUUUUUUUAAUGUGUUGAUAUCUUAUAUUUUUAAUAUUUUAAGAUGCUGGAAUGAUGGUCACACUUGAUCAGGUUAAUAAUGUAGAAUCAUUAGUGCACAGCUUUAACAAAAUUUCAUAUGUAUUUCUUUUAUAAAUUUGAAAAACUGAUCAAAUUUGACUCCCACUCAGUAAGUCUAUUCUGUAACUUUUAACGACAGUGUCAAUAUUGUUAUAUUGUUGCGUACGUAUUAUAUGACAAAAAAACUGCGCAAUAACAGUAUAACGAUACUGAACUCUGUUAAGAGUUACAGAAUAGGCUUACUAGUAUUCCCUUAAAAGGUUUCAUCUACAAUGGCCAUAGUAGUAGUAAGAAAAAGUAAACAAAUGAUUUAAUUUACAAUUCAAGUAUAAUUCACAAUUAAUUAUACUUGAAUUAUGAGAAUAGAAUUUGUUUACUGCGCAUUUUUUACAAUUACUGCUAUUGUAGAAUAAGCCUUAUUCUUUAAAUAUUUCAACUUCUUAUUUCAAUAUUUAAAUAUUAAAUGAUAUUAUUUCAGCGCUGUUGAGUAUAGACAAGAUCAGACAAAAACAACAAAUAUAAGUAACAUUGAUGACGAAGAGCUUUGCAGAUAUAGAAAUUCUAUUAGAAAGACAGCAGUGUUUAUCGAAAAUGGCAUAUUAGAACAUUCUAUCCUGUAAGUUAAAUUUUUCUUUUAUGAAGUAAAGUAUAUAAUAAUAUUUGAAGUGUGUAUUAAACAAUAUAUCAUAAAUGGAUAUUUAGAAAACAUGAAAGUUUUCUUAAUUAAAAGCAUAUGAAAAGCAAAAAUUUUUAUUUCUUUAUUGUAACUUAAGAACUGUUACAUAGUUUUCUUCUACGAGACAUAUUGUUAUUUUAUGAAUAUAUCAUUUCCAGUAUAUCUAGUAAAGAAUUGUAUAGUAUAUAAUAUAAUAUUUUUAUUUGCAGCACUAACGAGGAUUUAUCACAAAUCAUGGGCUUUAUUAGAAGUGUUUUAUGGCAUGACAAUUUGCAACACAUAUGGGACAUAUAUGAGAGGAAAUGUUGCUACCGCUUUUAAAAUACUUCUUGUAUGCCAGCUUAACGAAGCGACGCGACAAGGCAGGAAUCGGGGUCAACCUCGUUCGUUCCGCAUUAUUGUUCCGCAGAAGCUUCUUCUCGCGUCGUUCCUUUUGCAAGAUAAACGUCGCAAAAAAAUAUCAAAUUCCAUGCUCUCGCGAUUGGCUGGACGUCCGCUAUGAGGUCGAACAUUAAGGCGCCUCCCUCUACCGAUUUAUUGCCGGCAGUGGACGACGGGGAUGAUUCGGGUAUCGGUUUCCUCGUGCACGUUGAAAUAGAAGGAUGCUCAUUAUUUCUCGACUACUUUGUAAUCGCAUCGUUAGACAGAACGGCGUGACCUCGAGUAGAAAAGAAGAGGAGAGUGAAACACGGCAGAGAGAUGCGCGAGAGAUGACGAAUUCCUUCUAUUAGGAUUAACCUACUUCUUAGCCGACCUUUUUUCCUCAGCCUCGUUCGUUCCACCAUUUAUUACGGAUAGAGGGACACUCCCUUUACACAAUCUACGUGUAAGCGGCCGGUUGGACGAUCGUCAUCGCCUAGCUCGCCUUUUACGACUCUAUUGCGAUGUGACACGACAACAGGGUUAAAGAGUCGAGCAUACCUGAAUGCGAUGGCUACUGCAGAUGGAUUCGCCCUGUAACGACUUUAUGUCCACGAAAGAGUAUUUGAAAUUCGCCCUCGUAAUUGUGGCACACAGACUGCGAUGAAGAUGACGUAGGUGAUAUUGAGAUAGUGUCGUGGAAUCGGGCUGGAUCCGAUGAAGAUGAUGGUGACAGUGCUCGCGGUGAAGACGGCGGAGAUGACAAUAUGCACCCAGAAAAAAAGGUGCCGUGAGAUCUCGUCGUGUUCCUCGCGUCCUCUCGUAGUUUGAGAGAGUUUCCCCAUGGAAGUCAUCAACGGGGAUGUUGAACCGAGCCGACGCCGUUAAUCGUGUCGAGCGCCUGUGUGCGAACGCAAAACAUCGAUUCAUCAGCUGGUGAGUAAAUUUAUUUAUUAUAUUCGCGGAAUUAAUCGGCACGUGACGUCAUCGUCACCUAAUAUCUUAAUCAGAAUUUCAAGUGAUAAGUUCAUUAAAUUAAGAAUCAGUUUUCAAAAUUUUGUUUUUUCAAUUUUUCUAUUUUUUGCAAAUUUUUAAAUAUUUUUUUAAUAUUUUGAUAUUUCUAUAUUUUUGAUAUUUUAAGGGGAUGCUGGAGUGAUGGUAUAAUUUGAUCAAGGUCGAUAAUGUAGAAUCAUUACUAAACAGCUUUAACAAAAUUUUGUAUGUAUUUUUUUUAUAGAUUUCUAAAAUAUUAACUCUGAUCAAUUUGACCAUCACGUUGGUAUUUUCUUAACUGUUUUCAGUAUGUUUAUUAAAGAAUUGUAUGAUAUAUAAUAUUUUUAUUUGCAGCGCUAACGAGGAUUUACCACCUUUAUUGACAAAUCAUGGGCUUUAUUAGUUUUCUGGCAUGACAAACAAUUUGCGACACAUAUGGGACACGAGAGGUAAUGCUGCUACCGCUUUUAAAAUACUUCUUGGUUUAUCCUACUUGCAUUUGGCGUGCUACGUUCAAACUGCGCGCGUGAAGUUAACUACACCGCUGUGUGCGUAGAGUAGCGUGCGAUGACCGGGGGCGCCACUUGCGCGCGACAAGCGGGCACUCGGAGUUAGACACCACUGUUUUUUCAAUAUGGCGGAAGAAGAACGCGCGGGUUUGUGCGUGUAAGGAAUAUGAGUACUUCAACAAAUAAAUCAUGGAAGAAAUACAAGGGAAACCAUGCGUCGUUCAGCCCAUUGACCCACGGAAGGAAAAUAUCGCACGUAAGUGGUAGCCGAUGGAAACUCGUAGAUAACGAGCGAAGGGAGCGAGGGUGAGAGACAUCGCGACAGCACGAGGUAAGUAAACAUACGUUCGCGUCUCAAGAUCAAAGAUCAAUGCCCAUUGGAGUUGAUUUGAAACGCGAGCGCGCAAACAUUAUUAUAUACCUCCGUCGAUUUUACAUACAGUGCUCCGCCGCCAGUACAUGCACUUUGCCUCCUUUCUCCUCUCUAUUUUUUUUGAAUAUCCUUCGGGCGCGUCCCGAUGGGAAUGUGGACGUGAGUGCGUGUUCGCGGGGGGAGAGGGAACGCGAAAAGGGGAGCAGGAUAGAUAGCGCGACGCGGUGCAACUGUAUGUUAAUCGAACGCGCAUCCGAAUACGGAAUAAGAAUGGAAACCGUCUGGUUUAAUAUAGUAUUCUACGUUCCUCGUCACUUCGAUAGGCAUUCACCUCUUCCUUCGUCAUCUGGUUAUCUCUUUCAUAUCCAUGCAUUUCGCGCGCUCACCGUUGUUUCUUUCUUGCUCUGUUGAUUCGAGCAUCGCUGUCGACACUUUAUGAGAAUAGAGAAUAAUCCUUUCUGUAUUUUAUUUUUCAAUCGAGUUUAUCUUCAUAUUCUCUAUAUUUUCAGUUUUCUUUUUAACUCGCAUGCGUAUUGAUAAUUUGUAGACCCCAAAUUUUGUUUAAGCGACGUUAAAAAAAUCGCGCAUACUUUCGUAAUUUACCUCUUAAUAGCACGACAUAUAGCACUCGUUUUAUCGAAAUUAAAAGAAUAUAAUACCAUAAAUUUAUAAAUGUAUUUUCAAUAAUGUAAAUAAUUAUUGGAAAUUCAUUCUUUUACAAUAAUAAAAUAAUUACAUUUUGCUGUCUAUUUUAUAUUUUUAUGAGUAAUAUCGGUAUCGGACAUAUUGAUGUUAUUGAUUGUAUAUAGAAUCAAGAAAUCUUAAGACAUAUGCUGACGUCCAUCAGCGAGCAUCAUUGUGCGCUGUUUAAACCAAUCGCCGUGGAAAACCGAGCGAUAUAAUGUACUGUCGGGGUCUGCGGCGAGAUUCGCUCGCGGGCAAAAGACGCGCCUCAGGUGGUCUCGGGCUCCGUUGCCGUCGUCCGUCGUUCGACGAGCUGACGAGCGAGUUCGCAAUAAAUUGGAAUACGCCAACGCGCCAUCAACCGCGUCUCUUUCUUUCUCUCGAUGACUCCCGGGCCCCGAUAGUCGUUCGAACACGAAUAAUGGUAAGGAGAGGGUGUUCUCUCGAGUCACCUGUCACAGUCGGCAGAUAAACGCGAGAGUACCCGCGAGUCGCCUGCGAGUGCUCACGUUCUUGGUUGCCGGUCUAGUUGAGUCCACCACCGAGUCAUCGAUGGAUCUCUUCUCUCCUUCUCGUGAAGUAAAUCUCGCACCGACAAUCGCGACGGGCGCGAGUUAGGUACGAACUAGAUCCCGCGAAGGAAGCCCAUGGAACACGGUUUCCCGAAGAGAGACUCGCGGACGCUCGGUAAUGUGCGGCGAAUUGAAAGCGAGCUGCGGCGCAGUCGUUAGCCCGACUGACUAGCGAAGUACGUCUCUGAUGUAAGAAUGAAGUGCACGUCAGGAGGGACGUGCCCGCUGCGAUUUCCUGAUGCCGGGAACACGCGCGGUGUCUCCUGCCUUAUUUGAUGGCGGGAGUGAUGCCGGGAUUGAUAGGUGUGCUUUUUUUAUAACGUUGGCGCGUCUCCCUCGGCGCGAACUGUCCUAUAGAAAUUCAAUGUCUGCAAUGGAGAAGGAUAACCGCUGAUUUAAUUUAAUUUUUUUAAUUGGAAGGAUUUGUCUCAGUAAUUGAGGUAUAAUUCGUACAGAAUUCGGUUUGUUAUUAUUUGUCGCGUAUUGAUAUUAAUAUUUACAUUUACGAAUACAAAAUCGUAGUGUAAAGCAGAUUCUGUACAAAUAGAUAACUACAUUAGAAAUGCUACCUCCUCAAGAGAUAUGUAUUUGCGAGCUUAAGUAGAGAAAAUAAUCCCGGAAAUUCGAGUCGAAAGAAACCACUUACGUCGUUGAAAUUGUUUUCACUUUAUUUCGACUGUGGCGGAUAAUAAAUUUUCGUUGGAAACGGAAGUCGUGUGGACGUAGCGGCAAUGUUCUAUAAAAAGGUAAGAGCAGUUCCUCGGGCUUCAGGAAGCAAGAGAUAUAAGAAAAAAAGAAGAGAAAAAAGGGAGGGGAGGAGAGAUGCACCCCUUAAUGGACUCCGUUCCAUAACAGUGUGUCCCGGAGCACCGCGACUACAAGACAGGUUGAGUAGAUCAGCUGAGCGAGUAGGAAAAGAAGUCAAGUGUCGUACAUUAGCGUGAUAAAGAUGCGCCAGAAACGCGCCGCGUGAGGCACGUUCUAUCGAGAGGCCAGAAACCGUGCCACGAAACCUCUCGAUUAGACCUACAUGCGCGGAACGAAGGAGGAAAUAGGAGGAGUAAAAGAGGAAGGAGGAGUAGGAGGAAGAGGAAGAGGUGAAGUAUGACGAGGAGAAAAUCAGCGUAACCGGCUAUGUUCGCCUAGCGUUUCCCUCUUGGCAACCGAGUCGAGUUGCCUCUGCAGGGGUACUUAAAAAAAUCUAGACCACCCAGCGACCCUUUUCCGGAUUGCGUGAAGGGUUGCAUGCCCACGUAGUUCAGUGCAACUAGGUGCUUUACGUUUCGUCGUACUCUUCGCACGUUUACGCGUAAAGUGGACGAACGUCAAAGGAGAAAUGGACUACGAAAGAGAGUAUGUUGAUCUUGGUUGCUUGUUCGUAGUUGCAUAUCACAUUUUCUUUUCUCUUUCUUUCUCCUUCACUCACAUAUGUAUGUAGAUCAUACGACAUAUGGAAGGAAUUAUUCUUAGGGUCAGAGUAGGGUUUUGCGCGAAUGUAAAAGUGCGAAAAGGGACGAGAGGUGCCAUUAGGGCGGGAGUGAGUGUGCGAAAAGAGAGGAGCGCGCGGGGAAGGUAAGGAGAGAAUAAGGGAACAUACCGUGUACAUACGCGCGUUGUCGAGGAGGGUGAGAAAUCGGAGCAAAGGGUAAGGCGGAGGGAGAACGGCACGAUACCGAUGGAAAUGUGAGGAUCGAGGGAGAAUGAGAAAAAGAGACAGCGAACGACAAAGAGGCGUAAGAAGAACGAAAGAUCGGGCGAAGAGAAAGGGGCGAUACUGCAUGCAGAAAUAGGGGUUGACGAGGAGGAAAUCGGGCUGGAGGUUGCAUACGAAGAUGCAUACACGCGGUGCGCACGAGCACUCGCCAGGGCAGUGCACCCUGACGGGUGCAUUGAUCCCUCGUAGGCCGUGCGUAGGUACGCCUUAACUGCUACCCCGUUUUUUUUCUCGCAUCCCUCGCCUCUUGUCCCUUUGGAUUGCACUCCUCUAAUUCUUCGCCUUGCCCCAUGUACUUAUGCGCAGUGCAUCGUCGCGUGCACUCGUAUGCAUGCAUACGCGUAAGCAGAAGCGUGUUCCCUUCUUCGUCUUGGCAAGCGUCACAGGGGUUGGGAAAAAUGUUGGAUUUUUCUCUCGCGCGAGACGACGAUGACGAACGGCGACGUUGUUUUCCGUUUAGCUUGCGUUUCAAAGGGUAACGCGUCGUUACCGUUAAAAAAAAAAUUUGCGGGAAAGAGUUACGAGAACGAAAAAAAUAACUCACAAACGCGAAAAGUGCGUGCGCACGGAAAGUAGGGCGGCAGUGAAACUCGUUAAAAUGAAUAUGCGGUUUAGGUGAAUUGCGUGUAAAACAUGUAAUGUGUAUGAAAGGUUUGAAAAAAAAAAACACGUAUGCGUGAUUUUCUGUUAAUCACCUUGUUGAUCGGCAAAACGUUCUUUAAAAAUAUUGCCUCGAUAAUUAUAUGUAUUUAAGAGUGAUCUUUUAGCACGUAUCUUAAGGUGAUCAUGUAAUCAUAUGUCUUAUAUAACGAUGUCUAGUUAGAAACUGCACGAGUAUUUUCCCCUUUUUCAACAUCACACAGACGCGUAGACGCAUAUUUUGUGCACGGCGUCAGCAGUUAAUAAUGAUGGAGCGUGAAAUGUAACUAUAUGAUAUUGAAUCCGAAAAUUCUCAUUUAUGACAAAAAAUGAAAAUGAUCCUUGCAGAAAUUUUAUUGUGAUUUAUCGGCGCUACGCAUCACUCGGUUGUAGCUCGUAACUUUGCCACCUCGCGUUAAAUCCGUGACAGUGAUAAACUGAUCAGCAAUUGACGUGUGCAACACAAUCGCGUGCACACUCGCGCAUUCGAGGGCGCUUUAAAAUCUUCCGCCAUUACAGAAAAUGUACGACCGGGGCGGAACGCGUGAUAAGCCAGGUUUUCGCAGCUACGUAUCAAUUUGUGAUAUCGAGUUACCUGCAUCGCGGCGGCGCGUCGAAAGCAAUCCUUCACCUCUCGCGUGCAUUUUUCCGUCGGGGCACGCGCCUAUUUCUCGGUGCAUAAAUCAUACACCUUCGCAUUCACCCCUUUCUCGAGGCAGACAGAGGCAGGCGGGAGAAAGAAAGAAAACGAGAGAUCGGAUCGAUUGGCGACCCGCAUGGGAAAAAGCGUGCAAAAACUACGCGUUAAGUCUCGACACGCCUACACAAUGGGGUUUCUCCUCUCCUCGAUGUCUUCGAAAGCAUAUCAUAAAAAUUCGAGCGCGAGCGAGAGAUCGGUCCGUACCUACAUCAUCACUGUCGGCUGUCUCGCGACGAGACGACAGGAGCAGCGCGCCCGUACCCCGAAGAUAAGGAAAUGAAGAGCUGAUAAUUAGAGCGUGGCGCACCACGCCCUCUCUUGAACCGUCCAGGGAUAAUCGUGAUCUCGCUAUAAUAUUCCCGUACGCGUGUACGUGUUGGUGUGAUGGUUGCGUACGUAAAUACGUAUGUGUGCUCGUUUCCGUAUACGUCAACGUGGCGUGCUGUUGCACAAAGUAUGGCGGCCAUGUGGCUCGGUCAACCCCGGUGGUCCACUGCAUUUAGAACGGUACGAGUGGACCCGCUUGUGGACCAGCCGUACAAAGCGUAUAUCGCGAUAACGAGCCUGGGAAUUGUACGCGACGAAUAGAGACCUCUCCGGCUUCCGGCUUUCCACGAGGAUGCUCGCGCGACCUGAAUCAACGGCGUUGGAGAAUGUCUCUCGGGUAAGGACGAUAUUUUGGCACUAAAUUUCCAGCGCGUCCCGAUAACGUUAUUCACGUUAAUAUUUAACCGUCUGGUUUGUGUUUAGUUUUUUCCCGCGCUGUAAAGAAAAAAACAACGGGCACAGAAAUAGCUUGAGAGCACUUUAUUUCAAUUUGAUUAAAAUUGCAGCUCUAAUUUAUGAUUCUCAAUAUUUUUCAAUAAUUAAUACGUAUUGUUUAAUAAAUUAA
This 9720-nucleotide unclassified non-coding RNA is filed under the name Monomorium pharaonis (pharaoh ant). RNAcentral describes it as "uncharacterized LOC105830822, transcript variant X1". Lineage: Eukaryota; Metazoa; Arthropoda; Insecta; Hymenoptera; Formicidae. The record is from RNAcentral.